Molecule: ribosomal RNA, 429 nt
Filed under: uncultured archaeon
Lineage: Archaea
Description: bacterial SSU rRNA
Rfam family: Archaeal small subunit ribosomal RNA
Source: RNAcentral
UACCAGCUCUCCGAGUGGUAGGGAUGAUUAUUGGGCUUAAAGCGUCCGUAGCCGGCUUAGCAAGUCUCCUGUUAAAUUCAGCGACCUAAUCGUUGAGCCGCGGGAGAUACUACUAGGCUAGGAGGCGGGAGAGGUCGACGGUACUUCCGGGGUAGGGGUGAAAUCCUAUAAUCCCGGGAGGACCACCAGUGGCGAAGGCUGUCGACUAGAACGCGCUCGACGGUGAGGGACGAAAGCUGGGGGAGCGAACCGGAUUAGAUACCCGGGCAGUCCCAGCUGUAAACGAUGCGGGCUAGGUGUUGGGGUGGCUACGGGCCACUUCAGUGCCGCAGGGAAACCAUUAAGCCCGCCGCCUGGGGAGUACGGCCGCAAGGCUGAAACUUAAAGGAAUUGGCGGGGGAGCACCACAAGGCGUGAAGCUUGCGGUUC